UAAGCUACCACCAAGGCGACGACGGGUAGCCGGCCUGAGAGGGUGACCGGCCACAUUGGGACUGCUGAAGACACGGCCCAGACUCCUACGGGAGGCAGCAGUGGGGAAUAUUGCACAAUGGGCGAAAGCCUGAUGCAGCAACGCCGCGUGAGGGAUGACGGCCUUCGGGUUGUAAACCUCUUUUAGUAGGGAAGAAGCGAAAGUGACGGUACCUGCAGAGGAUAGCACCGGCUAACUACGUGCCAGCAGCCGCGGUAAUACGUAGGGUGCAAGCGUUGUCCGGAAUUAUUGGGCGUAAAGAGCUCGUAGGCGGUUUGUCGCGUCUGCUGUGAAAACUGGGGCCUCAACCCCCAGCCUGCAGUGGGUACGGGCAGACUAGAGUGCGGUAGGGGAGAUUGGAAUUCCUGGUGUAGCGGUGGAAUGCGCAGAUAUCAGGAGGAACACCGAUGGCGAAGGCAGAUCUCUGGGCCGUAACUGACGCUGAGGAGCGAAAGCAUGGGGAGCGAACAGGAUUAGAUACCCUGGUAGUCCAUGCCGUAAACGUUGGGAACUAGAUGUAGGGUCCAUUCCACGGAUUCUGUGUCGCAGCUAACGCAUUAAGUUCCCCGCCUGGGGAGUACGGCCGCAAGGCUCCGUAUCAAAGGAAUUGACGGGGGCCCGCACAAGCGGCGGAGCAUGAUCGAUUAAUUCGAUGCAACGGAAGAACCUUACCAAGGCUUGACAUAUACCGGAAAGAUGCAGAAAUGUGUCCCCCGCAAGGUCGGUAUACAGGUGGUGCAUGGUUGUCGUCAGCUCGUGUCGUGAGAUGUUGGGUUAAGUCCCGCAACGAGCGCAACCCUCGUUCUAUGUUGCCAGCACGUAAUGGUGGGAACUCAUAGGAGAAUCGGGGGUCAACUCGGAGGAAGGUGAGGGAUGACGUCGUAUCAUCAUGCCCCUUAUGUCUUGGGCUUCACGCAUGCUACAAUGGCCGGUACAAAGGGCUGCAAUACCGCAAGGUGGAGCGAAUCCGGACUUA
Molecule: ribosomal RNA, 1015 nt
Filed under: Parafrigoribacterium mesophilum
Lineage: Bacteria; Bacillati; Actinomycetota; Actinomycetes; Micrococcales; Microbacteriaceae
Description: bacterial SSU rRNA
Rfam family: Bacterial small subunit ribosomal RNA
Source: RNAcentral